GAUGAAGAACGUAGCGAAAUGCGAUAAGUAAUGUGAAUUGCAGAAUUCAGUGAAUCAUCGAAUCUUUGAACGCACAUUGCGCCCGCUGGUAUUCCGGCGGGCAUGCCUGUUCGAGCGUCAUUUCAACCCUCAAGCUCUCCGGAGUUUGGUGUUGGGGCGCCUGGGGCUUUUCGACCUCAGGGCCCUCAAGUCCAUCGGCGGGACCGCCAGGACACUGAGCGCAGUAGUAUUAUUUCGCUCGGUAGGAUCUUCCACGGCGGGUCGAUCUGGCCGCUAAACCCCCCAAUUCUCACCAAAGGUUGACCUCGGAUCAGGUAGGAAUACCCGCUGAACUUAAGCAUAUUAAUAAGCGGAGGA
This 357-nucleotide unclassified non-coding RNA is filed under the name soil metagenome. Its description in RNAcentral is "partial contains 5.8S ribosomal RNA, internal transcribed spacer 2, and large subunit ribosomal RNA". The stretch from base 1 to 120 matches the Rfam family "5.8S ribosomal RNA", at positions 35 to 154 of the family's 154-position model. The record is from RNAcentral.